CCUUGCAAAUCUCAAAUACUUGAAAAUCUCUUACUACUACAAUCUCAAAGAGUUACCCAGCAGCCUGACUAGUCUAAAUGCUUUGGAGCACCUGGGAAUUGAAUGUUGUGUCGCACUAGAGAGACCCCCAGAGGAAGGGCUGAAAGGUUUAACUUCACUCUGGGAGUUAUAUCUCCAGAAAUGCAAGAUACUAAAAUGUUUACCGGAGGGAUUGCAGCACCUAACAGCCCUCACAAAUGAACGAUCUAUUUGUAUUAUACUCCUUCAAAAUGUAAAAUCCAUUCACUCUACUUGCUGCUGUUUGGUUAAAGUAGUUUUUUUGUUGUUGUUAAAGAUAGUAGAAUUUCAUCAAAAGCUUGCAUCAAGCUCUUUAUUCACUGGAUUCAAGCUGAUCCAAAUGGACAAGAUUGUCGAAAAGUCUAAAUUCUUGUACAGGUAAUUCAUACUCCUCAUUAUUUCCACGGAUUCCUAGUUUUUGAACAUUCUGAAUCCCUGAAUUAACCUCCUCUGUGCGACAUGCCAGAAAUUUGGGAAAAACCUUUCCAGUUCGAUAUGCCUUAAUCAUCAUUUCCCAAAUUUGUUGAGGAAAAAUUGAAGAUUUUUCAUUAUGUUUAGGAAUGAAUGUUUGUGAUUGUAACUCAAUUCAAGCACAUUUAAACAUUGUGACAAAUGAUUUGACAUCUUUAGCAACAUUUUUCGAAUGUUAAUUUACCACUGGCAAUA
Molecule: long non-coding RNA, 723 nt
Organism: Solanum tuberosum (potato)
Lineage: Eukaryota; Viridiplantae; Streptophyta; Magnoliopsida; Solanales; Solanaceae
Exons: 2
Source: RefSeq, a predicted model, not a curated record